UGGGGAAUAUUGCACAAUGGGCGCAAGCCUGAUGCAGCCAUGCCGCGUGUAUGAAGAAGGCCGUCGGGUUGUAAAGUACUUUCAGCGGGGAGGAAGGUGUUGAGGCUAAUAACCUCAGCAAUUGACGUUACCCGCAGAAGAAGCACCGGCUAACUCCGUGCCAGCAGCCGCGGUAAUACGGAGGGUGCAAGCGUUAAUCGGAAUUACUGGGCGUAAAGCGCACGCAGGCGGUCUGUCAAGUCGGAUGUGAAAUCCCCGGGCUCAACCUGGGAACUGCAUUCGAAACUGGCAGGCUAGAGUCUUGUAGAGGGGGGUAGAAUUCCAGGUGUAGCGGUGAAAUGCGUAGAGAUCUGGAGGAAUACCGGUGGCGAAGGCGGCCCCCUGGACAAAGACUGACGCUCAGGUGCGAAAGCGUGGGGAGCAAACA
This 427-nucleotide ribosomal RNA is filed under the name uncultured bacterium. Its description in RNAcentral is "partial 16S ribosomal RNA". It matches the Rfam family "Bacterial small subunit ribosomal RNA", at positions 355 to 774 of the family's 1533-position model. The record is from RNAcentral.